UACGUAGGGGGCAAGCGUUGUCCGGAUUUAUUGGGCGUAAAGAGCGUGUAGGCGGCCAGAUAGGUCGGUUGUGAAAACUGGAGGCUCAACCUCCAGACGUCGACCGAAACCAUCUGGCUAGAGUCCGGGAGAGGAGAGUGGAAUUCCUGGUGUAGCGGUGAAAUGCGCAGAUAUCAGGAAGAACACCCGUGGCGAAAGCGGCUCUCUGGAACGGUACUGACGCUGAGACGCGAAAGCGUGGGGAGCGAACAGG
RNAcentral lists this ribosomal RNA (253 nucleotides) under uncultured bacterium. Its description in RNAcentral is "partial 16S ribosomal RNA". It matches the Rfam family "Bacterial small subunit ribosomal RNA", at positions 524 to 776 of the family's 1533-position model. The record is from RNAcentral.